AUGAUGCAAGUAGGAGAGACCCAGAAGGGCGCCGAAGGGGUAAGUUUGGUUUGCCGAACCUUAUGAUACUCUCAGGCAAAAGAACUACUUGUUGACA
Caloramator mitchellensis is the source of this 97-nucleotide regulatory RNA element. It matches the Rfam family "Glycine riboswitch aptamer". From Rfam's summary of the family: This family represents the bacterial glycine riboswitch. Glycine riboswitches usually consist of two metabolite-binding aptamers domains with similar structures in tandem. The aptamers cooperatively bind glycine to regulate the expression of downstream genes. The record is from Rfam. NCBI's taxonomy places the organism in Bacteria, Bacillati, Bacillota, Clostridia, Eubacteriales, Clostridiaceae.